This 253-nucleotide ribosomal RNA is filed under the name uncultured bacterium. Its description in RNAcentral is "partial 16S ribosomal RNA". It matches the Rfam family "Bacterial small subunit ribosomal RNA", at positions 524 to 776 of the family's 1533-position model. The record is from RNAcentral.
UACGUAGGUGGCAAGCGUUAUCCGGAUUUACUGGGUGUAAAGGGCGUGUAGGCGGGAAAGCAAGUCAGAUGUGAAAACCAUGGGCUCAACCUGUGGCCUGCAUUUGAAACUGUUUUUCUUGAGUACUGGAGAGGCAGACGGAAUUCCUAGUGUAGCGGUGAAAUGCGUAGAUAUUAGGAGGAACGCCAGUGGCGAAGGCGGUCUGCUGGACAGCAACUGACGCUGAGGCGCGAAAGCGUGGGGAGCAAACAGG